AACGAACGCUGGCGGCAGGCCUAACACAUGCAAGUCGAGCGAACCCUUCGGGGUUAGCGGCGGACGGGUUAGUAACGCGCGGGAAUAUACCCUUUGGUACGGAAUAGCCUCGGGAAACUGAGAGUAAUACCGUAUGUGCCCUUCGGGGAAAGAUUUAUCGCCAAAGGAUUAGCCCGCGUUGGAUUAGAUAGUUGGUGGGGUAAUGGCCUACCAAGUCUACGAUCCAUAGCUGGUUUGAGAGGAUGAUCAGCAACACUGGGACUGAGACACGGCCCAGACUCCUACGGGAGGCAGCAGUGGGGAAUCUUAGACAAUGGGCGCAAGCCUGAUCUAGCCAUGCCGCGUGGACGAUGAAGGCCUUAGGGUUGUAAAGUCCUUUCAGAUGGGAAGAUAAUGACGGUACCAUCAGAAGAAGCCCCGGCUAACUCCGUGCCAGCAGCCGCGGU
Molecule: ribosomal RNA, 446 nt
Filed under: uncultured bacterium
Lineage: Bacteria
Description: bacterial SSU rRNA
Rfam family: Bacterial small subunit ribosomal RNA
Source: RNAcentral